AGCGAACGCUGGCGGCAGGCUUAACACAUGCAAGUCGAGCGGGCGUAGCAAUACGUCUGCGGCAGACGGGUGUGUAACGCGGGGAAACGUACCUAUUGGUUCGGAACCACACAGGGAAACUUGUGCUAAUACCGGAUAAGCUCUUACGGGGAAAGAUUUAUCGCCGGAAGAUGGGCCCGCGUCUGAUUAGCUAGUUGGUGGGGUAACGGCCCACCAAGGCGACGAUCAGUAGCUGGUCUGAGAGGAUGAUCAGCCACAUUGGGACUGAGACACGGCCCAGACUCCUACGGGAGGCAGCAGUGGGGAAUAUUGGACAAUGGGGGCAAGCCUGAUCCAGCCAUGCCGCGUGAGUGAUGAAGGCCUUAGGGUUGUAAAGCUCUUUUGUGCGGGAAGAUAAUGACGGUACCGCAAGAAUAAGCCCCGGCUAACUUCGUG
RNAcentral lists this ribosomal RNA (435 nucleotides) under uncultured bacterium. RNAcentral describes it as "partial 16S ribosomal RNA". It matches the Rfam family "Bacterial small subunit ribosomal RNA", at positions 29 to 507 of the family's 1533-position model. The record is from RNAcentral.